GAUGAACGCUCGCGGCAGGCCUAAUACAUGCAAGUCGAACGGGAUCCAGAUCAAAGCUUGCUUUGGUCUGGUGAGAGUGGCGCACGGGUGCGUAACGCGUGAGCAACCUACCCUUGUCAGGGGGAUAGCCCGGCGAAAGUCGGAUUAAUACCGCAUGACAUCAUUGAGAGGCAUCUUUCGAUGAUCAAAGAUUUAUCGGACAAGGAUGGGCUCGCGUGACAUUAGCUAGUUGGUAAGGUAACGGCUUACCAAGGCUGCGAUGUCUAGGGGCUCUGAGAGGAGAAUCCCCCAAACUGGUACUGAGACACGGACCAGACUCCUACGGGAGGCAGCAGUAAGGAAUAUUGGUCAAUGGACGGAAGUCUGAACCAGCCAUGCCGCGUGCAGGAAGACGGCCCUAUGGGUUGUAAACUGCUUUUAUACGGGAACAAACGUCGGUACGUGUACCGGUCUGAGUGUACCGUAAGAAUAAGGAUCGGCUAACUCCGUG
RNAcentral lists this ribosomal RNA (490 nucleotides) under uncultured bacterium. Its description in RNAcentral is "partial 16S ribosomal RNA". It matches the Rfam family "Bacterial small subunit ribosomal RNA", at positions 28 to 507 of the family's 1533-position model. The record is from RNAcentral.